GACGUGGUGGCCUAACGGUUAGCGCGUUGGACUCCGGAUCGAGUGGUCCGGGUUCGAGAGCAAGAAUCUUUAAUUUCACAGUGCCUCCGUCGCGGCA
This is a non-coding RNA of Desmophyllum pertusum, 97 nucleotides long. The record is from the annotation of a GenBank genome assembly. NCBI's taxonomy places the organism in Eukaryota, Metazoa, Cnidaria, Anthozoa, Scleractinia, Caryophylliidae.